RNAcentral lists this ribosomal RNA (122 nucleotides) under Halobacteriales archaeon QS_9_68_17. The record is from RNAcentral. Lineage: Archaea; Methanobacteriati; Methanobacteriota; Halobacteria; Halobacteriales.
UAGGGCGGCCAUAGCGGUAGGGAAACACCCGUACCCAUCCCGAACACGGAAGUUAAGCCUACAAGCGUUUCGGAGAGUACUGGAGUGGGCGACCCUCUGGAAACACCGAUUCGCCGCCCCCA